GAUGAACGCUAGCGGGAGGCCUAACACAUGCAAGCCGAGCGGUAUUUGUUCUUCGGAACAGAGAGAGCGGCGCACGGGUGCGGAACACGUGUGCAACCUGCCUUUAUCUGGGGGAUAGCCUUUCGAAAGGAAGAUUAAUACCCCAUAAUAUAUUGAGUGGCAUCACUUGAUAUUGAAAACUCCGGUGGAUAGAGAUGGGCACGCGCAAGAUUAGAUAGUUGGUGAGGUAACGGCUCACCAAGUCAAUGAUCUUUAGGGGGCCUGAGAGGGUGACCCCCCACACUGGUACUGAGACACGGACCAGACUCCUACGGGAGGCAGCAGUGAGGAAUAUUGGACAAUGGGUUAGCGCCUGAUCCAGCCAUCCCGCGUGAAGGACGACGGCCCUAUGGGUUGUAAACUUCUUUUGUAUAGGGAUAAACCUACUCUCGUGAGAGUAGCUGAAGGUACUAUACGAAUAAGCACCGGCUAACUCCGUG
Molecule: ribosomal RNA, 479 nt
Filed under: uncultured bacterium
Lineage: Bacteria
Description: partial 16S ribosomal RNA
Rfam family: Bacterial small subunit ribosomal RNA
Source: RNAcentral